UAUUAAAAUUUUCAUCCAUUUGUCAUGUUAAAAACCAGCAUGGCUAUAAAAUAACUAGAUAGUAAUAUGUGGCAUGACACAUGCACAUCAUGCUGAGAUAUAGGAAAUGGUUUUUAACAAUAGAAAUGGAUGUAAUUUAUAACA
This 144-nucleotide microRNA precursor is filed under the name Gossypium hirsutum (cotton). RNAcentral's name for it is "MIR7502 microRNA precursor family". It matches the Rfam family "MIR7502 microRNA precursor family". Lineage: Eukaryota; Viridiplantae; Streptophyta; Magnoliopsida; Malvales; Malvaceae. The record is from Rfam by way of RNAcentral. RNAcentral also lists the same sequence under 1 other name.